Molecule: ribosomal RNA, 335 nt
Filed under: uncultured marine bacterium
Lineage: Bacteria
Description: bacterial SSU rRNA
Rfam family: Bacterial small subunit ribosomal RNA
Source: RNAcentral
AGAGUUUGAUCAUGGCUCAGAUUGAACGCUGGCGGUAGGCUUAACACAUGCAAGUCGAGCGAGAAAGUAUCUUCGGAUAUGAGUAGAGCGGCGGACGGGUGAGUAACGCGUAGGAAUCUACCUAGUAGAAGGGGAUGGCCCGGGGAAACUCGGAUUAAUACCGUAUACCUCCUAAGGGAGAAAGAGGGCCUCUCUUGAAGCUUUCGCUAUUAGAUGAGCCUGCGUAAGAUUAGCUUGUUGGUGAGGUAAUGGCUCACCAAGGCUACGAUCUUUAGCUGGUCUGAGAGGACGAUCACSCACAUUGGGACUGAGACACGGUCCAUACUCCUACGGGA